CACGUAGGGGGCGAGCGUUGUCCGGAAUCAUUGGGCGUAAAGAGCUCGUAGGCGGCUCAGUAAGUCGGGUGUGAAACCCCCAGGCUCAACCUGGGGACGCCACCCGAUACUGCUGUGGCUAGAGUCCAGUAGGGGAGUGUGGAAUUCCCGGUGUAGCGGCGAAAUGCGCAGAUAUCGGGAGGAACACCAGCGGCGAAGGCGGCACUCUGGGCUGGAACUGACGCUGAGGAGCGAAAGCUAGGGGAGCGAACGGG
RNAcentral lists this ribosomal RNA (254 nucleotides) under uncultured bacterium. Its description in RNAcentral is "partial 16S ribosomal RNA". It matches the Rfam family "Bacterial small subunit ribosomal RNA", at positions 524 to 776 of the family's 1533-position model. The record is from RNAcentral.